RNAcentral lists this ribosomal RNA (253 nucleotides) under uncultured bacterium. RNAcentral describes it as "partial 16S ribosomal RNA". It matches the Rfam family "Bacterial small subunit ribosomal RNA", at positions 524 to 776 of the family's 1533-position model. The record is from RNAcentral.
UACAGAGGUCUCAAGCGUUGUUCGGAUUCAUUGGGCGUAAAGGGUGCGUAGGCGGCGCGGUAAGUCGGGUGUGAAAUCUUGGAGCUUAACUCCGAAACUGCAUUCGAUACUGCCGUGCUUGAGGACUGGAGAGGAGACUGGAAUUUACGGUGUAGCGGUGAAAUGCGUAGAUAUCAGGAGGAACACCGGUGGCGAAGGCGGCUUUCUGGACAGAAACUGACGCUGAUGCGCGAAAGCUAGGGGAGCAAACAGG